AAUUUUGUGGCGAAGUUAGUUAACGCGCCCGUCUAACGAACUGAGGAGUCGUGGGUUCAAAUCCCCCCAUAUCUA
Molecule: non-coding RNA, 75 nt
Organism: Aedes albopictus (Asian tiger mosquito)
Lineage: Eukaryota; Metazoa; Arthropoda; Insecta; Diptera; Culicidae
Source: Rfam